Molecule: long non-coding RNA, 3607 nt
Organism: Panicum virgatum (switchgrass)
Lineage: Eukaryota; Viridiplantae; Streptophyta; Magnoliopsida; Poales; Poaceae
Exons: 2
Source: RefSeq, a predicted model, not a curated record
AGGCGAAAUAAGUGACAUGGGCCGUAUCGCGUCAACCGCGCGCGCGCUGCAGUUCCGCGGCCCAACAGCCAGCGACCGACACCGAACUCGUGGCCUCCCCCACCCCCGGCCCCGACGGCGGCGGAAGAACUAGCUAGCGCCGCCCGCCACGGCCAAGCCGGCGAGCCCCUCGGCGUCCUGCGCCGCCAGGGUGAUGGUGGUUGGAAAAGAUCGAUCAAUCUUGCUUGCUGCGACUGUAAUGACCCAAGGAGCUGUGUUAAAGAGAACUUGUGAUCUUGGGCCACUGUUUCCCCCAGCAUAAACAACAGUAAUCCCAUUCUGGACAGCAUGGAGUGCACCAAAAGAAUCAUCAUCGGCGACUAUUGAGAGAGACAGGAUGUCAACUCCAUCAUGUAUUGCAUCGUCCAUUGCUGCUAGCACUGCGGCAGUAGCAAGGUAUACCCCAUUUUCCUCCUCCCACCCAACCUUAUACACUGCAAGGCGUGCUCCGGGUGCACCACCACGUGCCACCCCCUCCCCCAGGCCAUGGAGGCUGACUCCCUCUACCACUGAUCCAGCUGCUGUGGAUGCCGUGUGUGUUCCAUGCCCAUUCAUGUCUCGAGCAGACAUGUAAUUCAGCUUGAGUUUGGCUUUGUCAAGACCUGCAGCAUAAUACCUUGCACCAAUGAUUUUCCUGCUGCAAUUGGUGCCCCCCCAUGCUUCUCCUAGCUGACACACACCCUUCCAUUGUGGCGGUAUUACUCCAUAUCCAUGAUCGCUGAAACUUCUUGAUUCAGGCCAGAUUCCUGCAUCAAUUGCCUUACUUAACUACAUCCAUGACACCAUUCAUUAAGCUACUUAAAUAAUUUAUUGCCAAAAGUUUUACAACUGAGAGCCGUCUUUCUAAAUUGAGGGACAGACCUGUGUCAAUUAUCCCAAUAAUUAUGUCUUCUCCAUAAUUGCUCCUCUGCAGAAGUUCACUAGGUUGUUGGUAAUUCAGCCCUAUGAAAUCCCAGCUUCGGGUGGUCAUAAGUUCAUGCUUCUGAUUUGGAGUAACACUGAUUACUUCAGGUAACUCUGAACAUAAAAAAUAUGUAAAUUCAAUCUUCUAUUGAAGAAAACAGAGAGAAGAACUUUACAAGUUUCUCUCUGGAAAAGUAUUCACAGUUAGAGAUAUCAAAUAAAACACAUCAGAACACACUCAUCUUUCCUCAUGUGGGGUCAGUGCAUUACUUAAUGGAAGUAAGUGAAUUACUCAAAGAUCGAAGACAUUCUUUUAACCACUAAAACGCAAUAUAUGUGUGUAAGUGUACUCUGCUCAGUCAGAAAAUAGGAUCACAUAUGUUCACUUUGGCCAUCUCAACUGGCAGUAGCAGACUUAACAGUGAAUUAGCUGCGAGCUGAAUUUCUUAGCCAAUGCCAGCAUACCUGCAAGUUUUUCAGCCUGAUCUUCAGUUAACAUUGCUGCAAAUCCUGAGAAGCCAUGCUUGUAGCUGUAAGCAACGGAGUCUAUUGCCUCUUCCUUGCUGAAAUUCAGCUAGCAAGCAAUGAUGAGAACCAAAUACACAGAUAUUUCGAGGUCAAGCAAUACACAAUAUAUACAAACUGUAGGUUUUUUGAUGGUAUGGACUGGAACUCAAAAAGCAAGACAAAUUAUAUGGUUACCUUCCAAGAAUGGUGCUGAGCAUUUCAUGAUGUGAAGCAGUGACAAGAGUAUGGUCAUCAUGUUUCUUGUCACCCAGGUAGGCGAUGUAUAACUAUGCAUAUAGAGGUACACAAACAUGUUUUAAUAGAUAAUAGGGCUAACUUGUGCAUAAACCUCCAGUCUCAAAACUAUUUUGAAAUUAAAACUCUAGAUAUACCACCCUUUAAAAUUGAAGAGCGAACUCAGAGUAUGAUAGAAGAAAUUAAAGGGAUGAAUUUGCUUUGAACUGUGAGCAAUGGUCUUUUUCUUUCCUCCUUUAGUUCAGUAUUCAGUACUUUAGACCAGUUGGUCUGCCGUGCGCUUGGCACCCCGCCGGCCCAGGUUCGAUCCCCUGCCAGGGCGAAUUUGUUGGUCGGGGGUGGCGCAGUUUAUCUGCGCGUUGAAAAAAAAACCCUCGCCUGUCCCACUUCAAAGCACAGGUCUAAGGCUGGUCCCGUCUCACAAGGGUUGCAGUGCUGCCGUGUAUGGGUGGGGUGAGGGUUUGGGGGUUUUCUCAACUUGUGUGAGGAUGUCUUCGUCCUACAACACAAUGUCGUGAGGGUGGUCUUGCCCCCGCAGGUCGAGUUUUUUUAGUUCAAUACUUUAGUUUAUAAUUGCUAUUUUUUUUCUUACUCUCAAUAUAAAUUGUAUUUAAACCUGAAUACAUGUAAAUAGAGCACCUUUAUCGUAAAAAAUAUUUUCGUAUAUUUUUAAAACUACCCCCUCCGUUUCAAAUUGUAGGUCAUUUUGAAUUUUCUUGAUACAUAGUUUUUACGAUGUAUUUAGACAUGAUGCUUAUCUAGAUACAUAGCAAAAGCUAUGAAUCUAGAAAAACCAAAACAACCUAUAAUUUGGAACGGAGAGAGUAUAAUUUGAUACACAAAAUAGAAGUUUAUGCACCAUGGUUCUUGUGUACUAAAUAUCUUCGAAUCGAAUAGAACUAUGAAAAGAAACAUAGUUUAACACUUUAUUCAUACCUUGCGAGAUCCAUCUGCUCUGAUCAUCAUGAAACUAAAGCAAAUCAGGAGGCAAGCUGAUAGACGCUGGGAGGGCAAGUGAAGAGCCAUGUUGCCAGUACACACUAAUUCGAUCCAGUGGGUUAUGCUAUUUGUAGGCUAUGGGGUCUUCAGUCCUUGUAGGUGGCUAUGUACCCAGGGAAAAAGGUUGGAAAUUUUGCAAUCUUUUGAAAGAAACACUAGAGAUAGGCUCUGUUUGACCAGUCAACCUUUGAAAAUUCAUCUCUCAUUGUCACUGUGUCAUAUCUCUUGUUAUCACUUACGAAAUGGCAUAUGUUUUGCUUUGUAAGCUUCUUGACAGUUCUGUUUUCUCCAUGGAGCUUAUGAUAAAAUUACUUAAUUUGAUGGGAUUGUCAUUUCUCCCUGAUCCAGCUUAGUAGCUACAACCUCUAGCUUAUUAUGCACGUUUGCUAUAUUAAUAUUCAUUAAUUGGGAUACACAUAGCUUCUAUAACUUUUCAGCUUUGCAACACGCGUGUUAAACUAAGAAAUUAAAAAUGUGUACAGAAUUACAGAAUCCAAGCAAGGCUUGCACUACAAAACGCAGGGCAAUGUGCCAAAGACCCUCCUGAUAUUUAGUAAAUGUAGUUUCUCUGAAUUUAUACAAUCUUGUGUUUCUCGAUCAUUGCAGAAUGUUGACAACCCACGGCCAUGAUUUUGUCCCCAUUUUCCAUGCCACUGCAUAUCAUUCCAUGGUCUCACUAACGUACUAACGGAUGACUAUGAGUUGAUGCUGAUUCUUCUGAUGUGAUCUCAUAUAUCUCAUCACUCGUCAGAGUCUUCAGUCUACCUUUGUUUUCUUUGAGAAGAAGUAGAAGAAGAAAUAUCAGCCUCGUGCUGUAAUCUUCUGUUCCCUUCGAGUUGAAGUAAGAAAAGCGCGCAGUCUGCUGCAGUACUUUUUGAUAAGAUUAAAAAAAGCAUCUUGUGUC